RNAcentral lists this ribosomal RNA (120 nucleotides) under uncultured bacterium. RNAcentral describes it as "partial 16S ribosomal RNA". It matches the Rfam family "Bacterial small subunit ribosomal RNA", at positions 215 to 334 of the family's 1533-position model. The record is from RNAcentral.
UCGCCUUUGGAUGAGCCCGCGUAAGAUUAGCUAGUUGGUAGGGUAAAAGCCUACCAAGGCGACGAUCUUUAGCUGGUCUGAGAGGAUGAUCAGCCACACUGGGACUGAGACACGGCCCAG